CGUAGGUAAUCUACCUUUGGAUGGGGAAUAACAACCGGAAACGGUUGCUAAUACCGCAUAAUGCAGCGGCACCUAAUGGUGACAGUUGUUAAAGCGGGGGAUCGCAAGACCUCGCGUCUGAAGAGGAGCCUGCGGCGGAUUAGCUAGUUGGUAAGGUAACGGCUUACCAAGGCGAUGAUCCGUAGCCGGCCUGAGAGGGCGGUCGGCCACACUGACACUGACAUACGGGUCAGACUCCUACGGGAGGCAGCAGUCGGGAAUUUUGGGCAAUGGGCGAAAGCCUGACCCAGCAACGCCGCGUGAAGGAUGAAAUCCUUCGGGAUGUAAACUUCGCAAGAACGGGAAGAAUAAGCCGGUGUCAACACCACCGGCGAUGACGGUACUGUUUGUAAGCUCCGGCUAACUCCGUGCCAGCAGCCGCGGUAAUACGGGGGGAGCAAGCGUUGUUCGGAUUUACUGGGCGUAAAGGGCGCGUAGGCGGCCACCGCAAGUCGACUGUGAAAUCUCCGGGCUUAACCCGGAACGGUCAGCCGAUACUGCGGGGCUAGAGUGCAGAAGGGGCAACUGGAAUUCUCGGUGUAGCGGUGAAAUGCGUAGAUAUCGAGAGGAACACCUGCGGCGAAGGCGGGUUGCUGGGCUGACACUGACGCUGAGGCGCGAAAGCUAGGGGAGCGAACGGGAUUAGAUACCCCGGUAGUCCUAGCCUUAAACGAUGAAUGCUUGGUGUCUGGGGUUUAUAGUCCCC
RNAcentral lists this ribosomal RNA (745 nucleotides) under uncultured soil bacterium. RNAcentral describes it as "bacterial SSU rRNA". It matches the Rfam family "Bacterial small subunit ribosomal RNA", at positions 116 to 840 of the family's 1533-position model. The record is from RNAcentral.